Molecule: non-coding RNA, 46 nt
Organism: Strongylocentrotus purpuratus (purple sea urchin)
Lineage: Eukaryota; Metazoa; Echinodermata; Echinoidea; Camarodonta; Strongylocentrotidae
Source: Rfam
CCAACAGUCCUUUUCAGGACUACACAAAUAUUAAAGAAAGAAAGAU